RNAcentral lists this non-coding RNA (45 nucleotides) under Trichobilharzia regenti. The record is from RNAcentral. Lineage: Eukaryota; Metazoa; Platyhelminthes; Trematoda; Strigeidida; Schistosomatidae.
AUCCAGUUGACGAGUCCCAAAAAGAACGAAAUGCGCAUCCUGGAU